UAUUAUCUUCUUCUUUAUGGCGGGCUCGUUGCUAAGGACGCCUCCAUGCAAAACAUAAACAUCCAACAUGAAUUAAGUAAAUAUUUCAAAAGAAAAAUAAAGGAAAGAUGUAUAAAUGUACAACAAAAACAUAAUAAAUGGCAAACACAAGAAAAUAUUGAGUUUUGUGGCAGAUAGAAGCAGCCUCAAAGGCUGUUUUUACUCCGUCACUUGUCAAUAAACUUAUCUCCCCUCCUGCGUCACAACUUGCUCUGCUGAAAUUACCGCACCAUAACCACGUCAUCUGCCCCAAUGAUCUACGGGCCGGAGAACCAGCGCAGAAAAGGAGUAAGUUUAAUUGGUCGCCAGAUGAAACGGUCUUCUUACAUCAAAUUCAUGAAAAAAGACGUAUAAUCAGAGGGUGUUAUGGGAAGAGUAUCACCCCUGAGGAUAAGAAGAGAGCGUGGACUGAAGUGGCAGGAGCUGUAACAAGUGCCUUCCCUGGGAGUGGACCCCGUACGCAGGAUGACUGUGAGAGGCGUUGGUACAACGUACAACAAAAAUCAAAGCCUCGCAUUGCCAAGUGCAAGAAUGAGCAGUGGCAGACUGCCCCACUGCUGUAUUGCUAGAGACCAUCCCAGCACAUUGUUCAUUACUUGUGGAAAAGAUACCAUCAGCUGCUCCGGCAACAGCCACUGUUUCAACAUCUGCUGGCCCUAUGACACCAGCCACUGCUUCAUCAUCUGCUGGCCCAAUGACACCUGCCACCGCAAGGGAUGACAAUGAAGCUGCUCCACCACAGUCACCACGUACUUCAUCGGAGUUAAGAGAUGCCUUUCAUAGGGCAGCAGUAUAAUUUUUUGAUGCUGGGGCUGAAUAUUACUGCCUCAAGGCUAUGAUUGUCACUUUUUUUUUAUUACUGAGGAGGUUAGGGAGGAAGGGGUGAAAAAUAAUCUCUGCUGUUUUUCGACGGAAAAGGUUAGCAAAUUCAUUCAAAGCACAAAAUUUACCAGAAAAAAAAUGGUGUGCCAUUGUGAGUGGGUUCACUUGAGAUUGGUUUCCAAUACGCCUCCAUGGUCUAGUGGUCGGCAUG
Molecule: long non-coding RNA, 1072 nt
Organism: Eriocheir sinensis (Chinese mitten crab)
Lineage: Eukaryota; Metazoa; Arthropoda; Malacostraca; Decapoda; Varunidae
Exons: 3
Source: RefSeq, a predicted model, not a curated record